This 301-nucleotide ribosomal RNA is filed under the name uncultured bacterium. RNAcentral describes it as "partial 16S ribosomal RNA". It matches the Rfam family "Bacterial small subunit ribosomal RNA", at positions 509 to 807 of the family's 1533-position model. The record is from RNAcentral.
CAGUCACCGCGGUAAUACGGAGGGUGCAAGCGUUAAUCGGAAUUACUGGGCGUAAAGCGCACGCAGGCGGUCUGACAAGUCAGAUGUGAAAUCCCCGGGCUUAACCUGGGAACUGCAUUUGAAACUGUCAGGCUGGAGUCUUGUAGAGGGGGGUGGAAUUCCAGGUGUAGCGGUGAAAUGCGUAGAGAUCUGGAGGAAUACCGGUGGCGAAGGCGGCCCCCUGGACAAAGACUGACGCUCAGGUGCGAAAGCGUGGGGAGCAAACAGGAUUAGAUACCCCUGUAGUCCCUGUCUCUUAUAC